AAUGAACGUUGGCGGCGUGGAUUAGGCAUGCAAGUCGAGCGAGAACCCGCAAGGGGGACAGCGGCGAACGGGGUAGGAAUACGUAGGUAACGUACCCUCGGGGCGAGGACAGCCACGGGAAACUGUGGGUAAUACUCGAUAAACUUCCCAAUCAUUAUGGAAGGGGAAGCAAUGGGUGUGAUUCCACCUGAGGAGCGGCUUACGCAGUAUCAGCUAGUUGGUGAGGUAACGGCUCACCAAGGCUACGACGCUUAGGGGGUGUGAGAGCAUGGCCCCCACCACUGGCACUGAGACACUGGCCAGACACCUACGGGUGGCUGCAGUCGAGAAUCUUCGGCAAUGGACGCAAGUCUGACCGAGCGACGCCGCGUGUGGGAUGAAGGCCUUCGGGUUGUAAACCACUGUCAGAGGGGAGUGAAGUGUACGAGAGUUAUCUCUUGUAUUUGUACAGAGCCUCAGAGGAAGCACGGGCUAAGUUCGUGCCAGCAGCCGCGGUAAU
This 499-nucleotide ribosomal RNA is filed under the name uncultured bacterium. Its description in RNAcentral is "bacterial SSU rRNA". It matches the Rfam family "Bacterial small subunit ribosomal RNA", at positions 29 to 524 of the family's 1533-position model. The record is from RNAcentral.